This 659-nucleotide ribosomal RNA is filed under the name uncultured bacterium. Its description in RNAcentral is "bacterial SSU rRNA". It matches the Rfam family "Bacterial small subunit ribosomal RNA", at positions 188 to 851 of the family's 1533-position model. The record is from RNAcentral.
CAUCUUCUUGUUAUUAAAGAAUUUCGAUAACCGAUGGGGAUGCGUUCCAUUAGUUUGUUGGCGGGGUAACGGCCCACCAAGACAUCGAUGGAUAGGGGUUCUGAGAGGAAGGUCCCCCACAUUGGAACUGAGACACGGUCCAAACUCCUACGGGAGGCAGCAGUGAGGAAUAUUGGUCAAUGGACGAGAGUCUGAACCAGCCAAGUAGCGUGAAGGAUGACUGCCCUAUGGGUUGUAAACUUCUUUUAUAUGGGAAUAAAGUGCAGUAUGUAUACUGUUUUGUAUGUACCAUACGAAUAAGGAUCGGCUAACUCCGUGCCAGCAGCCGCGGUAAUACGGAGGAUCCGAGCGUUAUCCGGAUUUAUUGGGUUUAAAGGGAGCGUAGGCGGAAGCUUAAGUCAGUUGUGAAAGUUUGCGGCUCAACCGUAAAAUUGCAGUUGAUACUGGGUUUCUUGAGUGCAGUAGAGGUAGGCGGAAUUCGUGGUGUAGCGGUGAAAUGCUUAGAUAUCACGAAGAACUCCGAUUGCGAAGGCAGCUUACUGGACUGUAACUGACGCUGAUGCUCGAAAGUGUGGGUAUCAAACAGGAUUAGAUACCCUGGUAGUCCACACAGUAAACGAAGAGUACUCGCUGUUUGCGAUAUAAUGCAAGCGGCCAAG